RNAcentral lists this non-coding RNA (29 nucleotides) under Mus musculus (house mouse). The record is from RNAcentral. Lineage: Eukaryota; Metazoa; Chordata; Mammalia; Rodentia; Muridae.
UAAAAAGAAAAUGUUUGGAAUUAAUCAGA